Molecule: non-coding RNA, 75 nt
Organism: Myotis davidii
Lineage: Eukaryota; Metazoa; Chordata; Mammalia; Chiroptera; Vespertilionidae
Source: Rfam
GGCUGUUCUCGGAUGACACAACCCGGAAUUGGGCUCCCUCAUCUCUGGUUCUGGGUGCAUCACCUAAGAACCGCC